Molecule: ribosomal RNA, 350 nt
Filed under: Mesamphisopus paludosus
Lineage: Eukaryota; Metazoa; Arthropoda; Malacostraca; Isopoda; Amphisopidae
Description: partial 12S ribosomal RNA
Source: RNAcentral
UAUUAGACUAACGUUCUUCAACCCAAAGAAUAUGGCGGUGUUUUUUCAUAAUUAGAGGAACCUGUCUAUUAAUUCGAUAAUCCACGAAAAUCUUACUUAAAUUAAAAGAAUUAGAAGCUUGUAUACCGUCGUUUGAAAUAAUAUUUAAAAAUCUUAUUACCAUAUAUUAUAAAUAAAUUAAAGGUCAGAUCAUGGCACAGCUAUAUUUAAGGUCAAAUUGGUUACAUUCUAUAAUCUAUCGACAGAAAAUAAAAUGAAAAAUUAUUUCAAGCCGAAUCUAAACGUAAUUAAAUAAGUUAUAAACUUUUAAUGAAUAUUACAAAACAUGCACAUAUCGCCCGUCACUCUCA